Molecule: ribosomal RNA, 2931 nt
Filed under: Escherichia coli
Lineage: Bacteria; Pseudomonadati; Pseudomonadota; Gammaproteobacteria; Enterobacterales; Enterobacteriaceae
Description: 23S ribosomal RNA
Rfam family: Bacterial large subunit ribosomal RNA
Source: RNAcentral
GGGUUGUGAGGUUAAGCGACUAAGCGUACACGGUGGAUGCCCUGGCAGUCAGAGGCGAUGAAGGACGUGCUAAUCUGCGAUAAGCGUCGGUAAGGUGAUAUGAACCGUUAUAACCGGCGAUUUCCGAAUGGGGAAACCCAGUGUGUUUCGACACACUAUCAUUAACUGAAUCCAUAGGUUAAUGAGGCGAACCGGGGGAACUGAAACAUCUAAGUACCCCGAGGAAAAGAAAUCAACCGAGAUUCCCCCAGUAGCGGCGAGCGAACGGGGAGCAGCCCAGAGCCUGAAUCAGUGUGUGUGUUAGUGGAAGCGUCUGGAAAGGCGCGCGAUACAGGGUGACAGCCCCGUACACAAAAAUGCACAUGCUGUGAGCUCGAUGAGUAGGGCGGGACACGUGGUAUCCUGUCUGAAUAUGGGGGGACCAUCCUCCAAGGCUAAAUACUCCUGACUGACCGAUAGUGAACCAGUACCGUGAGGGAAAGGCGAAAAGAACCCCGGCGAGGGGAGUGAAAAAGAACCUGAAACCGUGUACGUACAAGCAGUGGGAGCACGCUUCGGCGUGUGACUGCGUACCUUUUGUAUAAUGGGUCAGCGACUUAUAUUCUGUAGCAAGGUUAACCGAAUAGGGGAGCCGAAGGGAAACCGAGUCUUAACUGGGCGUUAAGUUGCAGGGUAUAGACCCGAAACCCGGUGAUCUAGCCAUGGGCAGGUUGAAGGUUGGGUAACACUAACUGGAGGACCGAACCGACUAAUGUUGAAAAAUUAGCGGAUGACUUGUGGCUGGGGGUGAAAGGCCAAUCAAACCGGGAGAUAGCUGGUUCUCCCCGAAAGCUAUUUAGGUAGCGCCUCGUGAAUUCAUCUCCGGGGGUAGAGCACUGUUUCGGCAAGGGGGUCAUCCCGACUUACCAACCCGAUGCAAACUGCGAAUACCGGAGAAUGUUAUCACGGGAGACACACGGCGGGUGCUAACGUCCGUCGUGAAGAGGGAAACAACCCAGACCGCCAGCUAAGGUCCCAAAGUCAUGGUUAAGUGGGAAACGAUGUGGGAAGGCCCAGACAGCCAGGAUGUUGGCUUAGAAGCAGCCAUCAUUUAAAGAAAGCGUAAUAGCUCACUGGUCGAGUCGGCCUGCGCGGAAGAUGUAACGGGGCUAAACCAUGCACCGAAGCUGCGGCAGCGACGCUUAUGCGUUGUUGGGUAGGGGAGCGUUCUGUAAGCCUGUGAAGGUGUGCUGUGAGGCAUGCUGGAGGUAUCAGAAGUGCGAAUGCUGACAUAAGUAACGAUAAAGCGGGUGAAAAGCCCGCUCGCCGGAAGACCAAGGGUUCCUGUCCAACGUUAAUCGGGGCAGGGUGAGUCGACCCCUAAGGCGAGGCCGAAAGGCGUAGUCGAUGGGAAACAGGUUAAUAUUCCUGUACUUGGUGUUACUGCGAAGGGGGGACGGAGAAGGCUAUGUUGGCCGGGCGACGGUUGUCCCGGUUUAAGCGUGUAGGCUGGUUUUCCAGGCAAAUCCGGAAAAUCAAGGCUGAGGCGUGAUGACGAGGCACUACGGUGCUGAAGCAACAAAUGCCCUGCUUCCAGGAAAAGCCUCUAAGCAUCAGGUAACAUCAAAUCGUACCCCAAACCGACACAGGUGGUCAGGUAGAGAAUACCAAGGCGCUUGAGAGAACUCGGGUGAAGGAACUAGGCAAAAUGGUGCCGUAACUUCGGGAGAAGGCACGCUGAUAUGUAGGUGAGGUCCCUCGCGGAUGGAGCUGAAAUCAGUCGAAGAUACCAGCUGGCUGCAACUGUUUAUUAAAAACACAGCACUGUGCAAACACGAAAGUGGACGUAUACGGUGUGACGCCUGCCCGGUGCCGGAAGGUUAAUUGAUGGGGUUAGCGCAAGCGAAGCUCUUGAUCGAAGCCCCGGUAAACGGCGGCCGUAACUAUAACGGUCCUAAGGUAGCGAAAUUCCUUGUCGGGUAAGUUCCGACCUGCACGAAUGGCGUAAUGAUGGCCAGGCUGUCUCCACCCGAGACUCAGUGAAAUUGAACUCGCUGUGAAGAUGCAGUGUACCCGCGGCAAGACGGAAAGACCCCGUGAACCUUUACUAUAGCUUGACACUGAACAUUGAGCCUUGAUGUGUAGGAUAGGUGGGAGGCUUUGAAGUGUGGACGCCAGUCUGCAUGGAGCCGACCUUGAAAUACCACCCUUUAAUGUUUGAUGUUCUAACGUUGACCCCUAAUCGGGGUUGCGGACAGUGUCUGGUGGGUAGUUUGACUGGGGCGGUCUCCUCCUAAAGAGUAACGGAGGAGCACGAAGGUUGGCUAAUCCUGGUCGGACAUCAGGAGGUUAGUGCAAUGGCAUAAGCCAGCUUGACUGCGAGCGUGACGGCGCGAGCAGGUGCGAAAGCAGGUCAUAGUGAUCCGGUGGUUCUGAAUGGAAGGGCCAUCGCUCAACGGAUAAAAGGUACUCCGGGGAUAACAGGCUGAUACCGCCCAAGAGUUCAUAUCGACGGCGGUGUUUGGCACCUCGAUGUCGGCUCAUCACAUCCUGGGGCUGAAGUAGGUCCCAAGGGUAUGGCUGUUCGCCAUUUAAAGUGGUACGCGAGCUGGGUUUAGAACGUCGUGAGACAGUUCGGUCCCUAUCUGCCGUGGGCGCUGGAGAACUGAGGGGGGCUGCUCCUAGUACGAGAGGACCGGAGUGGACGCAUCACUGGUGUUCGGGUUGUCAUGCCAAUGGCACUGCCCGGUAGCUAAAUGCGGAAGAGAUAAGUGCUGAAAGCAUCUAAGCACGAAACUUGCCCCGAGAUGAGUUCUCCCUGACUCCUUGAGAGUCCUGAAGGAACGUUGAAGACGACGACGUUGAUAGGCCGGGUGUGUAAGCGCAGCGAUGCGUUGAGCUAACCGGUACUAAUGAACCGUGAGGCUUAACCUUACAACGCCGAAGGUGUUU